AUUGAACGCUGGCGGAAUGCUUUACACAUGCAAGUCGAACGGCAGCACGGACUUCGGUCAGGUGGCGAGUGGCGAACGGGUGAGUAAUGUAUCGGAACGUGCCCAGUCGUGGGGUAUAACGUAGUGAAAAUUACGCUAAUACCGCAUACGAUCUAUGGAUGAAAGCGGGGGAUCGCAAGACCUCGCGCGAUUGGAGCGGCCGAUAUCAGAUUAGGUAGUUGGUGGGGUAAAGGCCCACCAAGCCAACGAUCUGUAGCUGGUCUGAGAGGACGACCAGCCACACUGGAACUGAGACACGGUCCAGACUCCUACGGGAGGCAGCAGUGGGGAAUUUUGGACAAUGGGCGAAAGCCUGAUCCAGCCAUUCCGCGUGCAGGAUGAAGGCCCUCGGGUUGUAAACUGCUUUUGUACAGAACGAAAAGGUUUCUACUAAUACUAGGAGCUCAUGACGGUACUGUAAGAAUAAGCACCGGCUAACUACGUGCCAGCCGCCGCGGUAA
Molecule: ribosomal RNA, 500 nt
Filed under: uncultured bacterium
Lineage: Bacteria
Description: partial 16S ribosomal RNA
Rfam family: Bacterial small subunit ribosomal RNA
Source: RNAcentral